Molecule: long non-coding RNA, 251 nt
Filed under: Astyanax mexicanus (Mexican tetra)
Lineage: Eukaryota; Metazoa; Chordata; Actinopteri; Characiformes; Acestrorhamphidae
Description: lncRNA (ENSAMXG00005012523.1)
Source: RNAcentral
AGACAACAUGCUCUACUGGCUGCCCUUCUUGUGGGAAAAAGUGAUCGAGUUCCCACAAGCUUGGCUGGUUUCCAGGACCACUGCCAGUAGGUACUUAAGACCUGACGACAACAAACUGGACUGCUAUUUCUGCUACCUUUAGGCUUUUAGGGUUUCUUGGAUGUUACAGAUAUUAUCUUAAGUACAGCAUGAGUGGAAAAGUAAAAUUUGUGGAAAAGAAGUUCAGCAGCUCCCUGGAUUCCAGUUUUAUG